Molecule: long non-coding RNA, 1640 nt
Filed under: Homo sapiens (human)
Lineage: Eukaryota; Metazoa; Chordata; Mammalia; Primates; Hominidae
Description: non-protein coding lnc-SYT4-6:1
Source: RNAcentral
AAAAAAACCUUGUAAUAUUAAUAUUAUAUUGAGUCAAUCUUAUUUAGGCAACCUUCUUGACUAUUUAUAUCAGAAAUGUAUAUUGGAUUUUGGAAAAAAGCUUUUUCAGCAUUGAGAUAAUCAUAAAAGUUUUCUGUUUAUAUCUAUUACUAGGGUUCAUUAUUUUAAUGGAGUUUUAAACAUAUCUUCAAACACUAUGCUUGGUCUCAUAAAGACUCAGAGCUUUAAAUACUAUAUAAUAUGCUCUUAAUUCCAAAAUUAUUUUUUAUUCAAGUCUAUUUUUAGCUGUAUUCCUAAGUCUUGUGAAUAACUAUUCAAUUAGUUGAAACAGAAAUCUAGAACUCUGCAGAUUAUUUCUUCUCUCUCUCACUUAGCAUAUAAUGAAUCAAUCAAAAACACUUACAGCUUUGAUCUCGUGUCUUAAUAUGUUUCUUUAUCUUCAUCUUCCUGUAACUGUCCAUUCUCAAUCUUCACUUUAAUUGAGCAAGGAGGUACAAUUGCUUCCUCUUUUACCUGUCCUCAAACCAUAUUUCAACGUGCUGUCCUGUUUUACACUUCCUUCUCUCAUCCAACCUCAGCAGAGCACUUUACAUAUUAUGGAUGUUUGAUUGAAUUAUGUUCAUGUAGAGUCAGUUCUGCUGUAACUGACAAUUUAAGUAUCACAUAAAUUUCACGCUUGUGUAUGGGCAAUUUUGUCCUUGAGAAACACUAGGUGAACAUAGAAAACCAUAUUUAAAAGAAGCAAGUGAUAUUGGAGUCUAAACAUAAAACUUAUUUAUGAUUCAUAUACACCCUGUACACAUACCCUGAAGGUAAUUUACUUCAAAUGUCCCAUUAAAGUUGGCAAAUAGAAAAUGAUGGUUUCAUUAUUCACAGACAAAACAAAUCAGCAAUUGAAAUAGUGGCCACAAGGGCAUCUUGAUCCCCCCCAAAUCCCUGAAUCUAACUAAGAGAGUGGCGAGGAGGCUGUGAGAAGAAACUGCUCAGAGAAGGAACACAUCCUGGGUCCCACACACUUUAUGAGAUCUAAGUGACUACAGUAAGAUUCCAUUCUUGAUUCUAGUUCUUCCGAAGGACGAAAUCAUUGUGAAGAUCUUCUUGAAUGAUUGAAGAGCCAUUUUUGAACAUUGGCUUAAGAUUUAGUUUUUUUGACCCAGGAAAAAAUGCUUUGAUAUGUGGUACGUCCAAUAUAAUAAAUAGUAAAUAUAUUUCUAAAAUAUCAUAUGGAUAAAGCAUCUUAAAUGAUGCUAAGAUUAUUAAUGAAAUUAAACACUAUGUCCCGACAAACAAAACCAAACCAAAAUGCAGUCAUUUCUGUUAAGGCUUUAAGGAAACACAGAGAUUUGUAGAACAGAACAGGUUUUGUUUUUUUCUUCUGCAAAUCACUGUAACAAACAUUCCUAACCGUAUAGGUAUCCACCCACUAAAGUUCCCAUUAAAUCUUUUAACCAAAUUCAUUUCCUCUGGCCUAGAGACCAUGAAGCUUCAGAUGAUCACGCAACAGAGGCUCCAGCCAGUUCCAGGUGAUGACACCACCCAUGGCCAUCAAGAAGCUACCCUGCCUCCACUAGAUAGAACAAGGAGAGUUCCAUGAUCCCCAGUAGGUAGGGACUAUGCCCCAAGCCACCAUGAUGCAGUUA